CGCCGCUGAUGCUGCUGCCACCGCCGCCUCUGUCGCCGCUGCCGCCGCCGCUACCACCACCACCAGCCCCGCCGCUUCCUAGCAAGCUCACUGCUGCCCAAAAGCUCCUAGCCAGGGAACUCCACCAGCCUAUUUAUCUGAGCCCCGGGAACGCUCCGUGACGUAGCUGCCCAUAUAUGGACAGACAAAGCCCAGCCGAAGGGGCGCGACGUCACAAUGGAAGCUCCUCACAAUGGAACAUUAGAAAGCAGGAAGCGGGCCGCAGCCAACGUGCAAGCGCCCAGCACCGCACGCCGCUCUUAAAAAAAAGAGAGAAAGACACAAAUAAGAGAAGAAAGAAGGAAAAUGCGAGAGGAGAGAGGAAAAGAGGGAUGCAGUUGGAUGCAAAGCGCAAAAAGAGCGCAGUGGAAAAACCAGCCACCAAGCUUGUGGUUCCAAAGCAGCCUCUUUGGCCACAGGAUGGCAGGAGGUCCCAGCAGGCCCGGGCACAUUCGCGAUCUACUGCUGCCUGCGAAGGGCCCGCCGCUGAGCUGCAGGAGGAGGACGCCGACCGAACCCACGGUCUCAGCUUCAGCGGCGGCGGCUUCCCCUAGUUUGCACCCUCCUCCUCGCCUUCACAGGGCUGCCCUCGUUGCUGCCUGCCGGCGCCCCGCAGUGAAGGGCGGCCUGUGUGCCGUCCCGGGGCGCUGUCACCUCCCCGAGCGG
RNAcentral lists this long non-coding RNA (705 nucleotides) under Fukomys damarensis (Damara mole-rat). Its description in RNAcentral is "lncRNA (ENSFDAG00000031911.1)". Lineage: Eukaryota; Metazoa; Chordata; Mammalia; Rodentia; Bathyergidae. The record is from RNAcentral.